RNAcentral lists this ribosomal RNA (495 nucleotides) under uncultured bacterium. Its description in RNAcentral is "bacterial SSU rRNA". It matches the Rfam family "Bacterial small subunit ribosomal RNA", at positions 903 to 1397 of the family's 1533-position model. The record is from RNAcentral.
AAAUGAAUAGACGGGGGCCCGCACAAGCGGUGGAGCAUGUGGCUUAAUUCGAGGCAACGCGAAGAACCUUACCUGGGUUUGACAUUUACCCCAACGAUCGUAGAAAUACGAUUACCCGCAAGGGGUGGUAAACAGGUGCUGCAUGGCUGUCGUCAGCUCGUGCCAUGAGGUGUUCGGUUAAGUCCGGCAACGAGCGCAACCCGCGUCAUUAGUUACCAUCGGGUAAAGCCGGGGACUCUAAUGAGACUGCCUGUGUUAAGCAGGAGGAAGGAGCGGAUGACGUCAAGUCCGUAUGGCCCUUACAUCCAGGGCUGCACACGUGCUACAAUGGUCGGUACAGAAGGAAGCGAAGUCGCGAGGCGGAGCAGAUCCCGAAAGCCGAUCUUAGUUCAGAUUGCAGUCUGCAACUCGACUGCAUGAAGCCGGAAUCGCUAGUAAAGGCGUAUCAGCUACGACGCUUUGAAUACGUUCCCGGGCCUUGUACACACCGCCCGU